UUGUCAAGUCUAAAUGAUGGGCUCAUUGGUGUGCUAAUUUUUUUUGCAUUUUCCAUCCCAAGCUUUUUGAGUAUCUCUCGAUAUACUUAGUUUAGUUGAUGAAGAUUUCUUCCUUUAUUUGUUUAAUGUGAAGUCCAAUGAAGAAACUUAUCUCUCCCAUCAUGCUCAUUUCAAAUUCACCCUAUAUUAACUCAGUAAACUCUUGGCAA
RNAcentral lists this long non-coding RNA (209 nucleotides) under Elaeis guineensis (African oil palm). Its description in RNAcentral is "long non-coding RNA (EGUI_LNC031108)". The record is from RNAcentral. Lineage: Eukaryota; Viridiplantae; Streptophyta; Magnoliopsida; Arecales; Arecaceae.